GGCCCCGUCGUCNAGAGGCCUAGGACGCUGCCCUCUCAAGGCAGAAACGCCGGUUCAAAUCCGGUCGGGGCUGCUA
This 76-nucleotide transfer RNA is filed under the name Actinomycetota bacterium. RNAcentral describes it as "tRNA-Glu". It matches the Rfam family "tRNA". From Rfam's summary of the family: Transfer RNA (tRNA) molecules are approximately 80 nucleotides in length. Their secondary structure includes four short double-helical elements and three loops (D, anti-codon, and T loops). The record is from RNAcentral. Lineage: Bacteria; Bacillati; Actinomycetota.